This 73-nucleotide transfer RNA is filed under the name Canis lupus familiaris (dog). It matches the Rfam family "tRNA". From Rfam's summary of the family: Transfer RNA (tRNA) molecules are approximately 80 nucleotides in length. Their secondary structure includes four short double-helical elements and three loops (D, anti-codon, and T loops). Further hydrogen bonds mediate the characteristic L-shaped molecular structure. tRNAs have two regions of fundamental functional importance: the anti-codon, which is responsible for specific mRNA codon recognition, and the 3' end, to which the tRNAs corresponding amino acid is attached (by aminoacyl-tRNA synthetases). tRNAs cope with the degeneracy of the genetic code in two manners: having more than one tRNA (with a specific anti-codon) for a particular amino acid; and 'wobble' base-pairing, i.e. permitting non-standard base-pairing at the 3rd anti-codon position. Lineage: Eukaryota; Metazoa; Chordata; Mammalia; Carnivora; Canidae. RNAcentral also lists the same sequence under 1 other name. The record is from Rfam by way of RNAcentral.
GUCUGGCUGGCUCAGUCAGUGGAGCAUGUGACUCCUGAUCUUGAGGUCAUAAGUUCAAGCCCUAUGCUGGGUG